AGCGAACGUUUGCGGCGGGCUUAACACAUGCAAGUCGAACGGGCUGUUCCUUCGGGGGCAGUCAGUGGCGCACGGGUGCGUAACACGUAGGUAAUCAACCCUCUGGUUGGGGAUAACACUUCGAAAGGAGUGCUAAUACCCGGUAUGGCGCAGCGGUCUUCGGAUCGCGGCGAGAAAGACCCGCAAGGGUUGCCAGAGGACGAGCCUGCGGCCCAUCAGCUAGUUGGCUAGGUAACGGCUCACCAAGGCGAAGACGGGUAGCUGGUCUGAGAGGAUGAUCAGCCACACUGGGAACUGAGACACGGUCCAGACUCCUACGGGAGGCAGCAGUGGGGAAUAUUGCGCAAUGGGCGAAAGCCUGACGCAGCCACG
RNAcentral lists this ribosomal RNA (372 nucleotides) under uncultured bacterium. RNAcentral describes it as "bacterial SSU rRNA". It matches the Rfam family "Bacterial small subunit ribosomal RNA", at positions 29 to 396 of the family's 1533-position model. The record is from RNAcentral.